CAGUCGCCACGGUAAAACGGAGGAUCCAAGCGUUAUCCGGAAUCAUUGGGUUUAAAGGGUCCGUAGGCGGUCUUGUAAGUCAGUGGUGAAAGCCCAUCGCUCAACGGUGGAACGGCCAUUGAUACUGCAGGACUUGAAUUAUUGGGAAGUAACUAGAAUAUGUAGUGUAGCGGUGAAAUGCUUAGAGAUUACAUGGAAUACCAAUUGCGAAGGCAGGUUACUACCAAUUGAUUGACGCUGAUGGACGAAAGCGUGGGUAGCGAACAGGAUUAGAUACCCGGGUAGUCCCUGUCUUUUAUAA
Molecule: ribosomal RNA, 301 nt
Filed under: uncultured bacterium
Lineage: Bacteria
Description: partial 16S ribosomal RNA
Rfam family: Bacterial small subunit ribosomal RNA
Source: RNAcentral